UAAUUGAAGAGUUUGAUCCUGGCUCAGAUUGAACGCUGGCGGUAUGCUUAACACAUGCAAGUCGAACGGAAACGAAGGAAGUUUACUUCCAGGCGUCGAGUGGCGGACGGGUGAGUAAUGCUUGGGAAUCUGCCUAAUAGUGGGGGACAACUCGGUGAAAACCGAGCUAAUACCGCAUACGCUCUAAGGAGGAAAGCGGGGGAUCUUCGGACCUCGUGCUAUUAGAUGAGCCCAAGUCGGAUUAGCUUGUUGGUGGGGUAAAGGCCUACCAAGGCAACGAUCCGUAGCUGGUCUGAGAGGACGAUCAGCCACACUGGGACUGAGACACGGCCCAGACUCCUACGGGAGGCAGCAGUGGGGAAUAUUGGACAAUGGGCGCA
RNAcentral lists this ribosomal RNA (380 nucleotides) under Gammaproteobacteria bacterium TMED78. Its description in RNAcentral is "bacterial SSU rRNA". It matches the Rfam family "Bacterial small subunit ribosomal RNA", at positions 1 to 379 of the family's 1533-position model. The record is from RNAcentral. Lineage: Bacteria; Pseudomonadati; Pseudomonadota; Gammaproteobacteria.